UGCCCACACUUGGCAUACAUAUCAAUCAGAGCAGUUCCUACAUAUUUAUUGCCACCAAGGUUAGCUUUAACUACAUGGGCAUGCACUUGCUUCCCGAGAGUGGCAUCUAAGAGGCUUGCACAAGAUCUAAAAUUGCUGAUAAACGUGUACAUAUUUGGCCUCAAACCUUUUCCCAAGAGUGGCAUCGAAGAGGCUUGCACAAGAUCUCAAAUUGCUGAUGAACGUGUACAUAUUUGGCCUCAAACCUUCCACAAGCAAGUUCCUGAAGAUUCUAGGUCCUUC
Molecule: long non-coding RNA, 282 nt
Filed under: Nicotiana benthamiana
Lineage: Eukaryota; Viridiplantae; Streptophyta; Magnoliopsida; Solanales; Solanaceae
Description: long non-coding RNA (NBEN_LNC033868)
Source: RNAcentral